AGAAGGCCUUAUGCGGUGUAAACUGCUUUUAUACAGGAAGAAACGACUCUUGCGAGAGGCAUUGACAGUACUGUAUGAAUAAGCACCGGCUAACUCCGUGCCAACAGCCGCGGUAAUACCGAGGGUGCAAGCGUUGUCCGGAUUUAUUGGGUUUAAAGGGUGCGCAUGUGGUUUAUUAAAUCAGUGGUGAAAGACGGUCGCUCAACCAUUGCAGUGCCAUUGAAACUGGUAGACUUGAAUAAAAUAUAGGUGGGCGGAAUUGAUAUUGUAACGGUGAAAUGCAUAGAUAUUAUCAAGAACUCCAAUUGCGAAGGCAGCUCACUUGGCUUUUACUGACACUCAUGCACGAAAGUGUGGGUAUCAAACAGGAUUAGAUACCCUGGUAGUCCACACUGUAAACGAUGAUAACUACGUGUCGGCCGAAUCUGGUCGGUGCCACAGCGAAAGCGUUAAGUUAUCCACCUGGGGAGUACGCCGGCAACGGUGAAACUCAAAGGAAUUGACGGG
Molecule: ribosomal RNA, 507 nt
Filed under: uncultured Bacteroidota bacterium
Lineage: Bacteria; Pseudomonadati; Bacteroidota
Description: bacterial SSU rRNA
Rfam family: Bacterial small subunit ribosomal RNA
Source: RNAcentral